GGGUAGGGCUACACACGUCAUGCAAUGGCCGGUACAAAGGGCAGCCAACCCGCGAGGGGAGCCAAUCCCGUAAAGCCGGUCGUAGUCCGGAUCGCAGUCUGCAACUCGACUGCGUGAAGUCGGAAUCGCUAGUAAUCGUGGAUCAGCAUGUCACGGUGAAUACGUUCCCGGGUCUU
This 176-nucleotide ribosomal RNA is filed under the name uncultured Hydrogenophaga sp. RNAcentral's name for it is "partial 16S ribosomal RNA". It matches the Rfam family "Bacterial small subunit ribosomal RNA", at positions 1206 to 1382 of the family's 1533-position model. Lineage: Bacteria; Pseudomonadati; Pseudomonadota; Betaproteobacteria; Burkholderiales; Comamonadaceae. The record is from RNAcentral.